Molecule: microRNA, 23 nt
Filed under: Oreochromis niloticus (Nile tilapia)
Lineage: Eukaryota; Metazoa; Chordata; Actinopteri; Cichliformes; Cichlidae
Description: oni-miR-10838
Source: miRBase by way of RNAcentral
CACACAUGUGCCAGCACAGGACC